Long non-coding RNA from Aedes aegypti (yellow fever mosquito), 479 nucleotides. RefSeq lists it as uncharacterized. NCBI's taxonomy places the organism in Eukaryota, Metazoa, Arthropoda, Insecta, Diptera, Culicidae. The record is from RefSeq and is a predicted model, not a curated record. The transcript is spliced from 2 exons.
AGUGCUGGAAUAAAGACCAACAAACGAAUUUUCCGCAUCAUUUUAUCUUAGUUUUGCGCCCUCACCUCGCUCGGUCCGUGUCAGUUCACAAACGGAAGGGUGCUUGAGAGUGAUCUUCGUUUCGUACUUCUCCCCUCAGGGAAUCUACCACCGCACAGUCGAGAGAUGUCCCUUGGAGCUAUUCGUUCCAUCCGAUGCACAGCUUGCAUGGAAACCUUGGAGCGACGCCGGUGGAGGAAAUUGUCGAUGCUGCGAUGGAAAAUUGGAGCACCUUCCGACCCGGUCCAGAUGGAAUGCCUUUAUUCGAAGUCACAUAGCAACGCACUAAGGGGUAUUUGUAGAGUUUAGCUGGCCAAAAGUAUUUCGAGACAUUUUCGCAUUCUAUGUGUUCACUUAAGAGUGAAACAUGUUUUGAAUGAUAUUUUCAUGAAUUUAACAAACUAAAUACGAAACAAAAACAAAAUAAACUAGGAAUUUUA